GCCUGGUGGUUCCUUGAGACGGCCCAUUCAUGCUGGACCUCGAGGUUGUGUUUGACAGGCGCACAUUGAUCUCUGCGAUUUCAUGCUUGGAAGUUGAUGUUUCUGUGCUCCUUCCACAGCCCGGUUGCAGAGACACGG
Small nucleolar RNA from Triplophysa rosa, 138 nucleotides. RefSeq annotates it as small nucleolar RNA SNORA84. NCBI's taxonomy places the organism in Eukaryota, Metazoa, Chordata, Actinopteri, Cypriniformes, Nemacheilidae. The record is from RefSeq and is a predicted model, not a curated record. The transcript has a single exon.